RNAcentral lists this ribosomal RNA (444 nucleotides) under Ephedrus plagiator. RNAcentral describes it as "partial 16S ribosomal RNA". Lineage: Eukaryota; Metazoa; Arthropoda; Insecta; Hymenoptera; Braconidae. The record is from RNAcentral.
CUGCCCAAUGAAAAAUUUAAUGGCUGCAGUAUCAAUAACUGUACAAAGGUAGCAUAAUAAAUAGUUUUUUAAUUAAAAACUAGAAUGAAUGAUUUAAUGAAAUAUAAACUAUAUAAAAAUAAUUAAAAUUUAAAAUUAAAUUUUAAGUAAAAAUUCUUAAAUUUAAUUAAUAGACGAUAAGACCCUAUAGAAUUUUAUAAUAAAAUAUUUUUAAAAAUAAAAUAUUAUUUAAUUGGGGUAAUUUUAAAAUUAAUUAAACUUUUAAUAUAAAAACAUAAAUUAAUGAUUUAAAAAUCCUAAACUUUAGAAUUUUAAAAUAAAUUACCUUAGGGAUAACAGCUUAAUUUUUUUUUUAAGAUCAAAUUUAUAAAAAAGAUUAAGACCUCGAUGUUGAAUUAAGAUUAAAUUAAAAGCAAAAAUUUAAUAAUUUAAGUCUGUUCGACU